UACAGAGGUCUCAAGCGUUGUUCGGAUUCAUUGGGCGUAAAGGGUGCGUAGGUGGCGCCGUAAGUGGGGUGUGAAAUCUCGGGGCUUAACUCCGAAACUGCAUUCGAUACUGCCGUGCUUGAGGACUGGAGAGGAGACUGGAAUUUACGGUGUAGCGGUGAAAUGCGUAGAUAUCGUAAGGAAGACCAGUGGCGAAGGCGGGUCUCUGGACAGUUCCUGACGCUGAGGCACGAAGGCCAGGGGAGCAAACGGG
Molecule: ribosomal RNA, 253 nt
Filed under: uncultured bacterium
Lineage: Bacteria
Description: partial 16S ribosomal RNA
Rfam family: Bacterial small subunit ribosomal RNA
Source: RNAcentral